RNAcentral lists this ribosomal RNA (256 nucleotides) under uncultured bacterium. RNAcentral describes it as "partial 16S ribosomal RNA". It matches the Rfam family "Bacterial small subunit ribosomal RNA", at positions 524 to 777 of the family's 1533-position model. The record is from RNAcentral.
UACGUAGGGUGCGAGCGUUAAUCGGAAUUACUGGGCGUAAAGCGUGCGCAGGCGGUUCGUUGUGUCGGUGGUGAAAGCCCCGGGCUUAACCUGGGAAUGGCCAUGGAAACUGGCGAACUGGAGUGUGGCAGAGGGGGGUGGAAUUCCGCGUGUAGCAGUGAAAUGCGUAGAGAUGCGGAGGAGCACCGAUGGCGAAGGCAGCCCCCUGGGCUAGCACUGACGCCUCAGGCACGAAAGCGUGGGGGAGCAAACAGGG